This 405-nucleotide ribosomal RNA is filed under the name uncultured bacterium. RNAcentral's name for it is "partial 16S ribosomal RNA". It matches the Rfam family "Bacterial small subunit ribosomal RNA", at positions 30 to 526 of the family's 1533-position model. The record is from RNAcentral.
AUUGAACGCUAGCGGGAUGCUUUACACAUGCAAGUCGAACGAGUGGCGGACGGGUGAGUAAUAUAUCGGAACGUGCCCAGUAGCGGGGGAUAACUAUGCGAAAGAGUGGUUAAUACCGCAUACUAUGGGGGCGGCCGCUAUCGGAUUAGCACGUUGGUGGGGUAAAGGGUCACCAAGGCAACGAUCCGUAGCUGGUUUGAGAGGACGACCGGCCACACUGCGACUGAGCCACUGCCCAGAGUCCUACGGGAGGCAGCAGUGGGGAAUGUUGGACGAUGGGGGAAUCCCUGAUCCAGCCAUCCCGCGUGUAUGAGAGGGCCUUCAGGUUGUAAAGUACUUUUGGCAUAGAAGCGGUAUCUGCAGAAUAAGCACCGGCUAACUACGUGCCAGCAGCCGCGGUAAUUC